This 74-nucleotide transfer RNA is filed under the name Faecalibacterium prausnitzii. RNAcentral describes it as "tRNA-Gln(ttg)". It matches the Rfam family "tRNA". From Rfam's summary of the family: Transfer RNA (tRNA) molecules are approximately 80 nucleotides in length. Their secondary structure includes four short double-helical elements and three loops (D, anti-codon, and T loops). Lineage: Bacteria; Bacillati; Bacillota; Clostridia; Eubacteriales; Oscillospiraceae. The record is from RNAcentral.
CGAGGGUUGGCCAAGUUGGAUAAGGCAUGGGCCUUUGACUCCCAGACCGCCGGUUCGAGUCCGGUACCCUCGAC